GUAUGAAAAAUACCUCUCUGAAGGUGCGCUGUCCUCCUCACGUUGUUUGUGUCACCCUUGACAACCAGACAGCCAUCUGCUCCAAUGACAAGCAGCCAACCCAGAGUGUGAAGCCCAGGAAAGGAAGCCGGACACGCAGACUAGCAGCUGGUGGUCAUGGGAAAUGCCCAGCCCUGUGUGUGGAUUUGAUGGCCACAGCUACUCUGUUUUUCUUUCUGUCAGUCUCAAACUUUUUGUAACUUUACUUUUUUUUUCUCACUUUCAGGCUACAUCUCCAAGUGUGUAAACCCCUUGAUUUUUCUUUUUUUUGUUGUUUAAAAUUGUCCAAGGAAGGUUAAAUCGAAGGCUGCUAAACAUGGCUGAAAAUACUCUCAUCCAAGAAGCUUCUAAAGUUCAAGUAUCUUAAACCAAGUCCAGUUACCCUUGAUUUAACCUUUCUUAGAUGACGUGGAUGACUAAGAAUCUGCAGAGAUAUAAAAAUGGAUAUGUUUAUUUUCUACAAUAAAAGACACAAGAAUAGUGGAUUUUUUAUUAAA
Long non-coding RNA from Micropterus dolomieu (smallmouth bass), 536 nucleotides. RefSeq lists it as uncharacterized. The transcript is spliced from 2 exons. The record is from RefSeq and is a predicted model, not a curated record. Lineage: Eukaryota; Metazoa; Chordata; Actinopteri; Centrarchiformes; Centrarchidae.